AGGAUGAACGCUGGCGGUCUGCUUAACACAUGCAAGUCGAACGGAGUAGCAAUACUUAGUGGCGGACGGGUGAGUAACGCGUGAGAAUCUACCUUCAGGACGGAGACAACAGUUGGAAACGACUGCUAACCCCCGAUGUACCGAAAGGGCAAAUAUUUAUAGCCUGAAGAAGAGCUCGCGUCCGAUUAGCUAGUUGGAGAGGUAAAAGCUCACCAAGGCGACGAUCGGUAGCUGGUCUGAGAGGACGAUCAGCCACACUGGGACUGAGACACGGCCCAGACUCCUACGGGAGGCAGCAGUGGGAAUAUUGCGCAAUGGGCGAAAGCCUGACGCAGCGACGCCGCGUGGGGAUGAAUGCCUUCGGGUUGUAAACCCCUUUCAGCAGGGACGAAGCGAAAGUGACGGUACCUGCAGAAGAAGCGCCGGCUAACUACGUGCCAGCAGCCGC
RNAcentral lists this ribosomal RNA (448 nucleotides) under uncultured bacterium. RNAcentral describes it as "SSU rRNA". It matches the Rfam family "Bacterial small subunit ribosomal RNA", at positions 26 to 518 of the family's 1533-position model. The record is from RNAcentral.